Molecule: unclassified non-coding RNA, 332 nt
Filed under: soil metagenome
Description: partial contains 5.8S ribosomal RNA, internal transcribed spacer 2, and large subunit ribosomal RNA
Rfam family: 5.8S ribosomal RNA (bases 1-120)
Source: RNAcentral
GAUGAAGAACGUAACGAAAUGCGAUAAGUAGUGUGAAUUGCAGAAUUCAGUGAAUCAUCGAAUCUUUGAACGCACAUUGCGCCCUUUGGUAUUCCUUAGGGCAUGCCUGUUCGAGCGUCAUUUAAACCUUCAAGCUAAGCUUGGUGUUGGGUGACUGUCCGCUUCACGGCGGACUCGCCUCAAAAUUAUUGGCGGCCGGUACAUUGGCUUCGAGCGCAGCAGAAACGCGAACUCGGGCCCGUCGUAUUGGCUCCCAGAAGCUAUCUUCACAAUUUUGACCUCGGAUCAGGUAGGGAUACCCGCUGAACUUAAGCAUAUCAAUAAGCGGAGGA